Molecule: long non-coding RNA, 2210 nt
Organism: Cottoperca gobio
Lineage: Eukaryota; Metazoa; Chordata; Actinopteri; Perciformes; Bovichtidae
Source: Ensembl
GGAGAAGAACUCCCAUGAUGCACCACUGCUGCACCACUACAGCAAACUCCAGCUUUUACUGUUGUUUUUAUUCAGAGACCCCGAGUGGCAGAAAGUUACAUAUUGUGCGUUAAAACCUUGAACGCUCCAUCUUACACACUUAACUAUGCAACAGGAUUUCAGCAGAAGCUGGGUGGUGUUUGUGGCGGUGUUCGUCACCUUGGUGUCGUCAGAGUCUGUCACACAUCUACUUCUCUUUUCUCCUUUUAAAUGUGUCAUUCAUUGUGCUCCCAUUGACGCUGUAUGAUUUGUAUCAAUGUGCAGCUUCAGAUCAAUGCUCUCUCUCUCUCUUGUGCCGUUUCUCUUUCUGCUUUGCCGCUGACUGUUUGUGUGUCUGUUUCUCUGCUUUCUCCAUGUCUGUGUGUGUGUGUGUGUGUGUGUGUGUGUGUGUGUCGUCCGUCUCUGGUCCGUCAAGUGUCCGGCCGCUGUCUAUCUCAGGGCAGCCCAUCUCGGCUCCCGCCACUCCCACGGCAGCGGGCAGCUAUGCCUCUCUGCUCCCCACCAGUGUGACUGUUCACAGCUUCGUCAGUCUCCAUCAGUACUGCUGCCCCUCUACUGACCCAAGCUUUCAGCAGCAGGACAGUCUCCUUCCACUCCCAGGUGUGACUCCAGUAAUAUGUGGAGUUAAGCCCUUCUAGCAGCUUCACAGAGCGAGAGGACAGCUGAGGGAGCUGAGUCACAAACCUUCCUCUCACAGACACAUCGUGACGCUCCAACACUGCCCUCUCAUGGCACACGCCAGCUGUCAUGUGCACACACCUCCCCGCCAUCUUUAAUAAAGGUGCCUGUUGUAGCUGAACAUGCAACUGUUUUGCUUUCUGCUUUCUCUUCACGUGUCUCACUCUGUCCUCCUCUUUCUCUCUCCGUCUCAUCCGUCUGCCUUCCUCGUGUUUGUGUUUUGACUCGUCCCGCGUUGCUUUCCAAGAGAGGGGGGCGAGGACGAGGGUGCCCAUCAGUUCUGCUGUCCUGCCUCAGGCUGCAGCAGCCCCUCCUCUCGCUGAGGCUGACUUUACCUGUGACUGAAACCGGAGACCUCACUGUGACUGUGUUACCAAAAAGGCAAAAGUGUUGCUGCAUUUCAGCCGGACAAAAUAGAAAAGCAUGCAGCUUGUAGUCGCUGUGAGCGUUGGUGUUCUACAUGUGCUCUCGUGGAUUUAUUCAUCGUGUAUAUGUUUUGUGCAUUAAUUCACAUUUUGACGGAACUCGGUGUUGUCUUCUCUCUGUGUUCUUUGCUGUUUAUUUCUUUUCUUGGAGCCAUAACAAGCUGUCAGGACGCAUCAGCAUCGUCUGCUCAUUACUGUCGCGCUCGUGCUUCUCGCUCGUGGGGUCACGUCAGUGCUCCGUGGUCACCGUUAGUUAUCUGUGCAGAUAAAGUCAGUUUGUAUUACAUGUUGGUGUGAUCCAUCCUUCACGUCUGAUCAUUAAUGCUGUUAUCUAUCAUGUUUAUUCAUAAAGAGAUUUAUCUUGUUGGUUUAGCUCUGAACAAAAUAAAGAUCUCUACUUCCUUCAUUUCUGUCUUUUUAAAUGUCUGCCGCUCAAGUGUUUGUUGUUUCAGUCCUGCAGGAAUGCUGCUGGCCCCCACCUCCAGCACAGUGACACGUGUGCACAUGCACAACGUGUGAUAUCAUCAGUUAUAUCUUGAGUGUGAAAGGUUUCCCCUGCAGAACACAGUUAUUGUUGGAAACCUGAUCAGCAUUCGGUGUAAAAAAUAUCUUUUCUUUUAAGCCAGAGGUUUUCUAAACGUACAGGAGUGUGUGUGUUUGAAGGUAAAUUAUUAAAACCUGUUGAUGUUGUUUCUCAGGACAUUUAUCAUCUGUUCUCUGCGGCUGCACUCGACUAACUCGACACAUUAUUAAUAUUUAAUAUUACAGAAGAUACUUAUUUGUGACACAUCACGAGACAAAGAAUAUAAAUAGUUGUUCUGCUGCUAGAUUAAUGGAAAACAUUACUAACACUGUGACUUUCAUCUCUUUAAAGGUAGAUGUGUAUAUUUUCAUUCAUUAUAUUUUGCAUUAAAGAAAAGUCUUGUUUUCAGCUGCCUUCCUGCAGACAGCAGCACAGACAUCCAGGUGAACGUCACUUAAUCUCCAGACUGGACGAUGUAAAAGAUAAACGAGCUCCAAACAUUUCUUAUAUUUCUCCUUCCACAUCUUCCCAAUAAAGGAAAGCAC